UCCCAUUCGGCCACGUGACUCGGCUGAUGGGAAGGUGCAACUGGAAACCGACCAACAUUGGAGCAGACUGGGGGGAAAGUUCUAACAGGUGUUCUUGCUUAUCCUCAAAAAUUGGCCCCUCUAGGAGAUUUCACUUGCUGCUAUCAGCCGAGCAAACUGUGCUGGGAUCUCUGCUUCGUGUCCAGUUAAUUCUUCAGACUCAGGAAAACUCAGCAUCAGUCUAUGACGAGGGCACAAGGAACAUUUUGUUGGAACGUCUGCGUAGCAGUGAUGAUACCAGUUCAAAAGUGCGAUUUCCUUUAUUACUCAUUACCAAUCAGUCACCCGCUAAUGUGUCCUUUAAAGCUAUCUAUAUUCCAAGAGAACAUCAAUUCUCAGAAUAAAAUAUAGCACCCAUGAUUAAAAUGUAAUUUAUUUUUCUUGAGAUACCUCUUUCAAGCAGCAGUUAGACGAGUAAUAGGGUCAUAGAUACUUGAUUAUUCUCUUAUUUAAAAAAAAAUCAGCGUCUGCAUUUUGAUAUACAGUCCAUUCUCCCUCUAACAUGGUUACGAGAGUUUUCAAUUAAAACACAAAUAACAAAUUCUGGAGCUACAUGAAGAUCUCAGGCCAAAAGGUAACAUUAAGCAAUGUUUUGCUUUAAUGUCACAUCCAGGGCAGGGCCACUGAAAGAGAGAGAGAGAGAGAGAGAGAGAGAGAGAGAGAGAGAGAGAGAGAGAGAGAGAG
Felis catus (domestic cat) is the source of this 723-nucleotide long non-coding RNA. RefSeq lists it as uncharacterized. NCBI's taxonomy places the organism in Eukaryota, Metazoa, Chordata, Mammalia, Carnivora, Felidae. The transcript is spliced from 2 exons. The record is from RefSeq and is a predicted model, not a curated record.